This 1951-nucleotide unclassified non-coding RNA is filed under the name Hevea brasiliensis (rubber tree). Lineage: Eukaryota; Viridiplantae; Streptophyta; Magnoliopsida; Malpighiales; Euphorbiaceae. The record is from RNAcentral.
AGGCAAAUGCAAAAUCCUUGCAGAGCCGUCCCUUCCCUUUAGCUUCUGCAGCUGCCCGAGCUGGAACGUUCAUAGAAAGGGAGAGCUACGAUUGUUACCAAGUCAGAAAAUUGCAAUUAGGGUUUUUAUCUGAAAAUUUUGUUAUCUAUGGCUUCCUUUAUCCUCUCUAACCCUACUAUUUCCUCUCCUUUCCUCCCCCAGAAACUCACUAAUCAUGAGCAAAAUACUAGAAAUUCGACCACACUUUAUAGCCCUAUUUCAAGAAGCACUAGAACCCUUACAAGCGUUAAGUGUGCAGUGGAUGCACCUUAUGAAGGUAAUAUCCCAAAGUUCUCUAGAAUGAAUGUUUGGGAUCCUUAUAAGCGUCUUGGUAUCAGUCCUUAUGCUUCUGAGGAGGAAAUUUGGUCAUCACGGAAUUUUCUCUUAGAACAAUAUGCUGGACAUGAGAGAAGUGAAGAAUCGAUAGAGGCUGCUUUUGAGAAGCUGUUGAUGACCAGCUUUAAAGAAAGGAAGAAAACAAAAAUUAAUUUGAAAACCAGGCUAAAAAAGAAAGUGGAAGAGUCUCCUCCUUGGGUUAAGGCUUUACUCAAUUUUGUGGAACUUCCUCCAGUUGAAGUUAUUUUUAGAAGAUUAUUCCUCUUUGCAUUCAUGGGUGGCUGGAGUAUCAUGAAUUCUGCUGAAGGUGGACCUGCUUUUCAGGUGGCAGUGUCUUUGGCAGCUUGCAUAUAUUUCCUCAAUGAGAAGACAAAGAACUUGGGCAGAGCUUUCAUUAUUGGCCUUGGAUCUCUUGCAGCUGGGUGGGCAUGCGGCUCAAUAUUUGUUCCCGUGAUCCCAACAGUUCUAAUACACCCAACUUGGACACUCGAACUCCUGACUUCAUUGGUAGGAUAUCUUUUCAUGUUUGUGGCAUGUACUUUUCUCAAGUGAACUCACAACUGCUUGUCACUAAUGCUGGGAAUUGUACUCAAGUUAACUGCAUUUCUAUAUUUAUUUUAAUUCUCGUGUUCUUUUAUAGAAUUUGAAUGCCAUGAAGUUGGGAAAUCUAUGAUGCACCUUUAACCUUAUUCUUCUUAAAUUGUUUUCAUACUAGUGCUUGUUGAAGUGGCAGUAUAGUUAAAAUUUUAUGGUUAGCAUUUAUAUUGUAAGAUUGAAAGUUCUGUUGGCAUGUUGAUCACUUAGAUAUAUCAUGGCAAGGAUCUGAGAACUCUGGGGGGUUCCUGUUGGAAGCUCUGCAUACUGGUUCAUUAUUAACAUUUAUCAGUUAAUUAACUGCUAUUCACACUGGAUCAUUUGUGGAAAUAAGUCUCUCUCCAAAGGUUGUAAAGAAUUUUACAUGGUUUUAGAUCAAAAGAUAAGGAUAUUUUAGUUCUGAUGGAUUCACAAUUUCUCAACAAUAUUAAUGAGAAAUCGCAGAGGUUCUGUAAAUAGAGAUGGAUUCUUUAACUGAUAAGUUUCCUCUUAUGCCCAUCUGGGGCUAAAAAGAAACUGUGCUAUGCCUUUUAAAUAAAUGCUGCUGGUCAUAUGGGGACAGCCAUUGACUUGAGUAUCAUGUAUGGCCAUGGUGCGUUGGGAAACUCCUAUGCUCGCUCGUAGUAUGCGACUUCUAUGCUUGCUCACAGUAUGUGAGAUGCAAGAUUCUACAAUGCUUUAAAGAAAAUAGAGUGCGUUUUCAUUAUCUGCAAUUGUUUUUGAUAGAGAUGAUGGCACAUGAUUUUAAGAGCUCUCAAGUUAAAUAUGCUCAGAUUGAAGCAGCAUGAUGGAUUAAUAUUACAUCUGAGAUGCUGAUAAGAAAAUAAUUAUUUUAAAAAUAUUUAAUAAAUAGUUUUAAUUUUGUUUAAUUGAAUGUAUCAACAUGGCGGAACUGGGCUGGAACUUCAAUGUUCAUCACUGGAUGUAUCUAAUUUAACUAAAAUCUCGUUGUGAAAAUAAAGCUAAUGGAAAAAAAAAAUAA